GCAGUCGUGGCCGAAUGGUUAAGGCGAUGGACGUGAAAUCCAUUGGGGUUUCCCCGCACAGGUUCGAAUCCUGUCGGCUGCG
This 82-nucleotide transfer RNA is filed under the name Ixodes scapularis (black-legged tick). RNAcentral's name for it is "tRNA-Ser". It matches the Rfam family "tRNA". From Rfam's summary of the family: Transfer RNA (tRNA) molecules are approximately 80 nucleotides in length. Their secondary structure includes four short double-helical elements and three loops (D, anti-codon, and T loops). Lineage: Eukaryota; Metazoa; Arthropoda; Arachnida; Ixodida; Ixodidae. The record is from RNAcentral.